Thrips palmi is the source of this 1190-nucleotide long non-coding RNA. RefSeq lists it as uncharacterized. The transcript has 4 exons. NCBI's taxonomy places the organism in Eukaryota, Metazoa, Arthropoda, Insecta, Thysanoptera, Thripidae. The record is from RefSeq and is a predicted model, not a curated record.
AGCACCUAGAGUCCUUGAGUGUCACCAAGCACCAAGUUUGCUCGAGGUGGUGUUUGCCUCUCUUUGGAAUUUUUCAUAAUACAAGUGUAUGAAAAACUCAGAAGACUUGUUGUUUGAAUGUGAAUGAUGUUCGUGAGCAGACGAAGAGACUCUUGGACAACAAGGAGAUUGUAUUUUUCUUGGGAUUUUACAAAGAAAAACUGUUUGAAUGCAAGGGAAGUGUUUUGUGUCCCUUUUGAAAUCUUUGUUGAUUGGCUUGAUUCCAAUUUUUAAAAUGUUUUCUUAUGAAAUUUCCAGGCCUGGCUCUAAUAUUAGUGUGAAAUAAGUAAAAUUGUGCAUCCUGGGCAAAGCCAAAGAAAGUGGUCAGGUUAAAACCACCUGGUGAAACAAGACAUAUCAUUUCAUUGAUUCGAUACGGAGUCAGGGUUAGCAAGAGUUUUACCUGUGGAAAAUUGUGUGGAGGUGGCGCACUACCAGUCUGCUUAGCUAGCUGCUUCCUUGCGGGAACCUCUCUGCUGGUGCAAAGUACGUUAUGCUGCAAGAAAAACACUUGCUCACCUUCAAAUUCUUCAUUGGGAUUAAAUUCAGGACUGCAAAAUUACAGAUAAAUCUUAAACUCCAUCUUUGGCCUGCUUCAAACGAAUAUGAUGAAUUGGACUUGGAGUCAGUGUCUGGAUCAUUCGUCAAGGAUUGACAUCUUUCGCUAGGUGUUGAAGUUUCUAGAGCUGAUUGAAGAUUGAUAAAUCAUUAGUUUCUCUUCAUCAAAACAGUCACUUUAAGUUACAGAAAAGGCUUGUAAAUAACUCACGCAAGAACUUUUCUGGUGGCUCUUCCAUGUCACAAUCGUUUGUUGUUGUUGCUGCUCCUAACAAUCCUCUUAUCCUGUAAAGUAAAUUUUGUAUUGGUUAAGUUAUUGCUACAGUUGAAUCACAAGCAGAAUCAUUAGCAGCAUUAGGCUACAACUAAUAAUUGAUGAUUCUAAUCUUAUUGAUUUAACACCCUAUUUUUCAAUCAAAAUGAAGACUCUUAGUAGAUUUGAAGUGUGAACAGAUUCAGAAUAGAUUUAUACUUUUACUGCACAGUCAUUAUUGUAAGUGUGUUUUUAUAAAAAGAAGUGUGGUGAUUACAAAAUAAAAUUGGCACUGUCUUGUGGCAGCAUCGGCAGGAUUAUAGAUGCCUUGUGUCUUGUA